Molecule: long non-coding RNA, 11172 nt
Filed under: Setaria viridis
Lineage: Eukaryota; Viridiplantae; Streptophyta; Magnoliopsida; Poales; Poaceae
Description: long non-coding RNA (SVIR_LNC006234)
Source: RNAcentral
UUUUCAAUGCACAUACAUGCCUAAAACAAAGCCUUCUAUGCAGCUUUCCAGGGGAACAUGAGUUGCAGUCCUCAAAUGCUUUCUCAGAAAUUAAGACAAAUUUAAGUUCCGUACAUAAGGAUUAAAUAUUAUUAACUGAACAUCCAAUCACAUUGGAAAACAAAUAAAAACCACAUAGCAAGUUUUUCUUGUUAUUCACAUUUAACAAAAAGAGUUCUCUAAUCUAUAACUGGCCACAUGAGCACAAACUGAAGUAGUUCUAUCUUUCAUUGCUGAAGGGAAAGAUAACUAGAUGUUUUCUAUUAAAAGAGGAGAGAAGAAGCCUGUUUAGGAACUAUCCUUAGCUAGAAAUCAGCUGAUCUACUAAAGCCUAAAAGGAUGACAGUAAAGUCAUGUGACGCCUAACAAAUUUGAAUGAAGAAACAGAACAAGGAAAAACACAAAAGAUUUGAUCAAAUUUGUCAAAAGAGAAUAAGAUGCUCACUUAUCCUUUCAAUGUAAGAAAAAAGAAAAAGAAAAUCCUUGGGUCUAUAAAAGAGGACAGAACAACAUGCCCGCUACAAACCAAUCCAGCAAUUCCCACCCUUCUCGCACUUCCUCACCUUUAAGCAAGGAGACAAGUACCAAUGUCUCAUGCUCAGCCCCUUCGUUUCCAAGCCCAGAGGAAACACGUCAAAUUUCAGGACAACCAAGCCAAUGCUAUGAAGGAUGGGGCAGCACCAGGCACUAGCGACAAGUUGGGGCAUGGCCACAGGAUGAAAGAUGAUGUGGACACAAUAGCUUCAGACUUCAUCAGGCUUAAGCACAGGGCUUGGGCACUCCAGAAGAGCACAACCAUGUAUCCAGCUUCAACUUAGAAGUGAUAUGGUUCAACUUGUCAAUAGUAUCUACUUAUGCUUUGUCUCUAUAUAGUCUAUAGGUCCUAGUUUGAAUAACAGAUGCUGCUUGCAGCCUUGGAUAGUUGCAGAGUCAAGUUACCGUGGUGUUGUUGCUAGCACUACGAAUAAGUGUGUAAUCUAUUAUGUGCAAGACUGAUGUAUGGAGUACUUUAAAUACGAUAAUGAGGGUAUUACUAUGAUCCUGAUAUUUGGACUUGUUUAUAUUUGGAGUGCUAAGAUGUUAAAGAAUAAUUAAGAAAUACUCCCUUCAUCUCAAAUUGUAGGUCAUCUAGUGUAUGUCCACAUGCAUAAUUAUAUGUAUGGAUCUAGAAAAACCAAAACGACCUACAAUUUGAAACGGAGGGAGUAUCAGCCAUUCUAAUGAUAAUUAAGAAAACUUUGCUGAUAAAAUAGAUCUGACAAGAAGGCCGUAAAAAAUUCAGGUGGAUGAGUCUUGGCAUGCUCAUAUGAAUUUCACACUAAUCAAAUCAUCAAUGAAAUAGCACAUUAGGUUGAUAGGCUCUAGAAAGGAUCAAGUUCAACAUACAUCACAUGAUCAUACAACAUAGAUAUUACAACAGAUCAACUAUUAAGUUGUAUGUAGUUACAGUAGACAGGUAAUGCAAGUAACACUAGUAACACUACUAGUGGUUACAGCCAUGUAAUCUAAUUCUGAAACUGAAAAUGGUCUUAAGCUUACAAAGCAUAUCAACAUGGUGCUCAAAAUCUGGGUGCAAGUGUGUUGACUCAUUUGGAUAAUUUUGCAAGGAAAGCCAACUGCAUAGCUGCGAUGAUGCUUGCAAUACUUAAUAGAAAGAAAAAACAGCAGUUUGAGGAUAUGCUACUUGACACCCUCCUAAGUUGAGUUAUAUGGGAAUAUGACAGAAAGACAUGGGAGCGCCGUAUCCUGAAAUUCAACUUACUUGAGUGGAAUAUGAUAUCCUUAAAAGAUAUCUGGCAAAAGAAAACCUCAUCUAUUUGUUCUUAUCAAGCUAUAAAUAUUUUCCACUCCGAUGUGAGAUGAACUGUGUUAAUGAAAUAGAUUUGAGAAGACAGCUGUAAAAACUUUAAAUUGAAGAGUCUUGGCAAACUCAUAUGGCAAGGGAUCGUAUCACCACAAAAUCAAACCACCAAUGGAUCAUAUAGCACCUUCAUAGGCUCUGGAUAUCUGGAGCUAUAACUCCACUGUACAUAUACUUAGUAAAGUUGCAGAUACAACACCAGAUCAACUGUUAAGUUGUAUGAUAAGGCAGCCCCAAAAAGAAGCUACCAACACGAACAAACAAACAUUUAUCUCAAGAUAGACAAGUAACACUACUGGUGGUUACAGUUGUAUAAUCUUAUUCUCAAACUGAUAAUGGUUCACAAUUUACAAAGCAUAACAACAUGGUGCUCAAAAUCUGAGUGCAAGUGCUUUGAUUCAUUUAGACCAAUUUGUGGGAGAAGCCAACUGCUUGCAACAUAAUACUAGCAGCAAUGAAUAGAAAAGGAAAACUGCAGUUCUGAGGAUAUGCCACCCUCCUAAUUCAAGUCAUAUGGAGAAUGUAUCAGGGAUACAUGGGACUGAUAGAUCCUGAAAUUCAACUUAGUUGAGUGGUAUAUCCUUAAAAGAUAUCUGAUAAACGAAAACCUCAUCUAUUUAUUCUCAUCAAACUAACCAAGGUUACUCAACAAUGCCAAAAAGCUAAGCUUUCACCAUAUGCUCACCAACCGUUGCUUGCUUGAACACCAUUCAAGAAGCACUCUCAACUUUGACUGAUUCAAACAGUUUAGUGACGUGGGGGUGCUUGCGGAUAUGGAUAGGGCAUUUGUACAGUAAAUCUUGAGCCUCAGAAUAUCUUCCCUCUGCAAAGAACGACUUGAGAACAUGCAGGUAGGUAGCAGGUGCUGGACACUUAGUAUUCACCGUCAAGGCCUUCAGAAAGUCCCUUGCAUCUUCAACCAUCCCAUGCUUAGCAAUGUAAGGAGGGAAUGGUUCCGUGAAAGGUGGGAAACUGCGGGCUUUCAUUGACCUCAGAAGGGCCAGUGCCUCACCAAGCUUCUUUAGCCUCAGCAGCUCAUCAAUUACAUGCUUGUAGGUGCCUUGCCAAGGCCUCAGAUGAGCCUUGUCCACCAUCUGAACAAACAAAGUGUAAGCAGCAUCAACCUUUUCAUGGCUACACAGACCUUUGACCAUCACAUCCAGCAAAUCCGCGUCUGCAUCCAAGUUCUUGUCUAUCAUCUCCGUCAAGCACUGCAGAGCUCUGUCCACGUCUCCAGCCGCACAGUGCCCUUGGACCAACAUGGUCCAAGUCUUCAAAUCUGGGAUGCACCCUUCAGCCUCCAUUUCAUCAAACACUUUGCGAGCAUCGUCCAACUUGCCAGCCUUGCAGAGACCAUACACCAAUUGGCUAUACGUGACAUUGUCUGGCUGGUGACCUUCUGCUCUCAUCCUUUGCACAACCUCUGCAGCCUCAUCAAAGCUCCCGUUGCUCGUGAGCACCCUGUGGAUGGCAUCAAACAACUCCUUGGUCUUUUUGUCCCACACGGACUCAUACUUGCUGACAACCCGAAUGGCAAGGUCAAGGUCUGGCGAUGGAGACAGCGAGAUGCGCCUGAUGAUCAGCGGCGCAUCCUUCUGCGCUGGCUUGAAAGGACCAUCCAUCAUGUGCUCGUAGAGCUCCACAGCCUCCCUGAUCAUAUGCCGCUUCUGGAAGUUCCUGGACAGCUUGACAUAGGUGUCGAUAUCCACGUGCACCCCGGCGGCCUUCAUUUCCUGGAUCAAGUCCCAAAACUCGGGCACCGACUCCUCCCGUCCGAGCGCCCUCGCCAUGGCAUUGUAGGCCACGGAGCCGUGCUUGUAGCCCUGCUGACGCCCAGCCCAUCGGAAGAAGGCGAGAGCCUUGGUGGGAUAGUCCCUCAGCUCCCGGAGCACCUUGGCCACGGCGGUCUCCGUGAGCGGGAGGAGGCCGAUGGUGCCCAGCUUCUUAUCGAGGUCCGCGCCAUCGAGCUCCCGGACGGCCUCGGCGGCGGCGGAUGCGGUGCCGCCCUUGGCCUCUUCCCGGGCCUUGUUGUAGUGCGCGGUGAGGGCGGCGUAGUCGGCGGUGAGGCUUGCCUUCUUGAAGGAUGCGAGUGCGGCGAGGUAGGUCCCCUGGUCGACGGGGUAGCCAGCCUCCUGCAUCUCGCGGAUGAAGGGCCAGAAGUGGCUCUGGGCGGAGGACGGGUCAGAGGCGAGGGUGCGGAGCAUGAGGUUGUAGGCCGCGGAUCCGACGGGCUGGCCGGCGGCGGCGGAGCGGCGGAAGAAGGCGAGCGCGCGGGAGGGAUCAGUGGAGAGGUUGUGGAUAUUGUAGAUCACGGCCUCAGGGGUAGCUGCCGUGGCGAUGGCGGUGGAGAGGAGGCGACGGUGGGCGAGGAGGCGGCGGAGGGAGGGAAGCGCCGCCAUUGCCGUCGUGGGGUUUAGUUAGGGGUUGCCUCUGCUUCUUCUCGCUUCUGCGGCGGAGGAAAUGGGUAAUAAACAUGGGCUGGGCCAUUCCUGCUAAGUAAGGGGCGGACGGAGGCCGAUUCGGGCCCAAAUAACCUUUUUUUCCUUGGGAGCAGGGCCCAAGUAACUUUGGUAAAAGAAUGGGCCGGUGAGGUUAAGGUUCUCUCUACUAGAUAAAGCCAGCCAGAAGGCCCUCAAACCAAAAAACAAAAAACUUGGAGCACAUGGAUAGUCGACUCGCACUGGCAUUAGCCAGCCAUCCAAUGACAACACAGAAAUCAAAAGCUCAAAAAGGCAGAUUGAUGAAUUGCUAGUGCACAAGACAAACUAAAGAAGAGCAUGCAAUGCAUGAUGACCAUAGUUAGGAAAAGCGGGCAAGAGCAUGAACAACACUAAUUCCUAGCUAGCUUGGACGAAAAAACAAGAAUGGGAAAGACUAUAAACAAGAAAGACUGAACCUUUCUUUCUGACGAAGAAACAUACAAGAAUGGGAAACAUGCAGAAAGGUGAUGGAGCUGAGUCAUCUCCAGGUCGAUUCGCCGGCUUGUAGCCUAGUUGUAGCUCGUAGGGCAAAAAGGCACUUUUUCUCUCACAGCUUCGCUUCACUUUUCCACCCUUUGCUGUCAGCUGUCCAGAAAAAGAAUCAGGCUGCAGUGCCAAUAUAUAUGCAUAGAGAUCGUGCAUUCAUUCGGUUUAAUUUGUCAGGGAAAAAAGGGGCAAAAUUUCCCCUUUUAGGUUCUGGUCACUCCUAAACUAAACCUAAGAGAUCGAUGCAAGACUAAUAAUUAGGUAAAAAGAAAAGAUUGUCAGUUCAUGGCAAGUGGGCUAGCGGUGGUGUUAGGUCAAGAAGAAGUUGGACAGAUGUGUGGUGAGAGGUAUCUGGAUAGCAAUAUCAACAGCAUGGCCAUGCAUGCUUUUGCCUUGUUUAGUUGCCAAAGUUUGGAGGUGCCAAAUUACUGUUACAGCACUGUAGCAACACUGUAGCGUUUCGUUUGUAUUUGUGAAUUAUUGUCCAAACAUUGACUAAUUAGGCUCAAAAGAUUCGUCUCACAAAGUACAACAAAACUGUGCAAUUAGUUUUUAAUUUCGUCUACAUUUAGUACUCCAUGCAUGUACCGUAAGUUUGAUGUGACGGGGAAUCUUCUUUUUGCAUAGCGCCAAAGUUGGGAGUUGGGGGUGAACUAAACAAGAGCUUAAUUUCUCGCGCAUAUGACUGGAUCCAAGAACUCACUUGGUUCCAUUGAUUAAUUUAUGAUGAGUCAGGUCAAACUGCAUUUGGUGGAUAGCUAUAUAUGCAGCAUUAAACUAAACUGAGUUCCUUGCAGAUUUUCAGGCAUUUUAUGUACUAUAGCAAAUUAAAUUAAAGAAGAAAUCAUCAGCUUUAUUUAUUUCUUUUCCAGUUUUAUAUAUUAAUUUAAUUUACAUGCAGAUCAAAGCAACAGGUUGCACUUUAGUAAUUACUAGUACUUUGAUAGAAUGGGACGGAACUGAUGAACAAGUGUGCCACUACUAUAUACACGUAGUUUGCUAAUGCACGUGAAACCCAAGAAUGCUGCUCCACCUUCUUUAUAUAUAUAUUCUUUUAUUUGGGGAGGCACACCAUAUAAUUAAACAACCUGCAGCUGCUCUCCAUCUCCAGUACCUCGUUCAUUCUAGCUCGAAAUUUUCUGAAAUUUAUACGCUGCUCCCCAUUACUGAAAUUUCUUGAACAAUUACUGAAAUUUAUAGCUGCUCUCCAUUUUAUACGCUGCUAGCUCUUGAACAAUUACUGAAAUUUCUUGCGUUUUGCGACUCUGUGGCAAAAAGUCAUGCAACUGUAUGUAUUAGUACCUCGUUCAUUCUAGCUCGAAAGCGACUCCUCCCGUAGGAAGAGGGAUUGGAUUACAUUCCUUGCGCCUCACGCAGCCUCAAGAGCCUCGUCCAUCUCCUUUAGUUUGCAUCCUUCUCCGUUGCUUUGCUUGCUUAGCUUUUGGCCUCCUCUCCUUUUCGAUGUAAAUAAACUUUUGAGUCACCACCAACAACAACACAAAGCAGGGAACCAUUUAUUUUAUUUGUGUGGCCACGUACAACAGAACAAGGCAGGGCAGGGCGGUUCAGAGCAGCCCAUAUAUAAACACACAAGAGGCUGAGCAACUCCGAAUGAUCCAACUGGUCUCCACUCCCUUUGUGCUCUGCUCCAUCUCUUCAGUUUGUUACACUACUGCUAGUGCCCUCCUCUUCAUCUUUGUUGUUGAGGCAGUUUAGUCGGGCUCGAGCUCAGCAACAGCAAUGGAGGUGGAGGCUUGCUACAACUAUGGCUUCCUCCCUGCAGACAGAGGCAGGCACCAGCCACCACCACCACCACCCCACCCGGCAGGUGGUCUUCUUCUUCAGCUGUUUGUUUGGUUUCUGAUUCCUUUUAUCUUCCCCUUCUCAGCUCUUGUCUCUUUAUCGUUCCUUCUCUGGGUGCUCCGUUCAUUCUCAAGACACAAACCAGUUCAUUGAUUCUUUUUUUGAGGGAAUUUUAGAUUUGUCCUCGCCUUUUCCCUUUUAUUUUUCUCGGAGGAUCCUGCCUCCUAGUGGGUUCUGUGUGUUAUAUGCUGUUUCAUCAGAUGCAAACAAUAACAAAAUUUCCCUCAAGGGGAACAAGAAAACUAGUUUUCUUUCUUGUUUUUCCUUUUGCUUUCAUGUGAUAAAAUCACCCUUGGAAUCUGUAGCUUUAUAAUAUAGCAACAAGAAAGAUUUGCCGUGCGAGAUUGAAAGGGGAACUCUGCGCCUUUUCCUUCAAUGCAAGGAAUCUUUUGGGAGACCAAAAAGCUACUGCUAGUUUUAACUGAUUAUUGAUUGCAGAAGAUGGUGAGUUGUGGGAGUACUUCCCUUGCCCUUUCUGCUACAUCGAGGUUGAGGUGCCCUUCAUCUGCAACCACCUUCAGGAGGAGCAUUGCUUUGACACCAGAAAUGCUGUAAGUGUUCAUCUCUCCGAGAGCAGAGCCUGUUUGUUGCAAGUAUAGCUCGGCACCAUCACUCACAAGUCAUAAUACCUAGUAUAUAUUAAUGAUGAUAGUCUACGACAUUGAAUACUGAAACAUAACUGUUUGCCGAUGACCUUUUAGGUUUGCCCGAUCUGCGCCAACAAUCUAGGGAGAGAUAUGGCUGCACAUUUCAGAGUUCAGCACUCGCAUCUUCUCAAGGUACCAUGAGCGGCGACGAGUAGCAGUAGCCUUCCACCAUAGCUGUAGCCAUGAACUAAUUGGUACGGUGAUGAAUCAUGACAGAGGAGGAAACCUUCCAAGCCAUGCGCAUGGCCUGAAGCUGCUACCAACUCAGCAUCUGGGAAGGGAACAGCAACAUAUGAACUGAACCCUUACUUUGAGGAGCCCCAGCAUUACAGGAUGAGCAUCGGCAGGCCAUACCAAGAGCCUGCCCCUGACCCACUGCUCUCGCAGUUCAUCUGCAGCGUUGAGCAAACCCACGACGCUGAGAACGGUGCUGUAAAGACCCCAGAUGAUCAGAGGUAUGUGGUAAUUCAGAUUUUCAAUGCAAGCAUUGCUGUAUCUGUAUCGAUCCGUGAGUUAGCUAAUGAAUCUUGUUAUUUCCUGUAUAUCCUACUAGUAGGUGCAGAAGAAAGGCAGCGAGUGAUGACGCGUCAUCCAAGCUGGGUCUGCAGGAGAGGUUGCAGAGGAUCGACUUCCUCACGGAGAUACUCAUGUCCACCAUUCUUUAAUGUGUUGCUGCUAUCUAGGGUUUCUUGAGCAGCUUUAUUUAGGCACUGUUAUUAUAUUAGGAUGUUACUUAUGUGGGUAUCAGCUGUAUCCAUACGCAUGAAUGUUGCAUAUUCUAGCCCAACCUUGUCCAUCUGAAUUGUUUUGUGCACAACUCUUGUGUGCUGCAAUGCUAUCAGUUCUGAAUGCCCAACAAUAAGAAUAUAAUUCUACAUUGACAAACAUAAAGAAUCCACCGUUCACAUGAGAACCUCCCAGUUAGAGAUUUAAAGUUACGAACAUGCCUUCUAUUGUCAGAGUAAGUAAUACCAUCAUAACCAGUUCCUGAUAAGAACAGCCCGUGUGAAACAUAUAUACAGGAAAAAAGGAUCAGCGAAUUUUGAUUAACAUAUAUAUAAUUAUCUCGUGUGCUCUACAUAUAUCAUCAAUAUCUAAAUCUACUCCAAGGGCUAUUGGUGGACAAAAAAAAGCCAAUGUGUGUAAUUAACAUCAGAAUUUCAUCCUACGAGACAAAUGUUACGUUUGGAGGAGUCACGCCCAUCAUCUCGUAAUAUGCUUUCUCAGCCUCCGCCAUUCUUGUCUGGAAAAUUCCCCAUUCUUUCCGGCAACGCUCUCUUACCUACAUAGACAGUACCACGAUAAAGUUCAGCCAAAACUUUUCAUCAGCCUCAACACACCCCUUUACAGAUGUCAUUAUUUAAACAAAGUCUAGGAUUCAUACCCCUUCCCAUGGUGCCCUCCCGUUCUCUGACUGCCCCUGUGCAUUUUCAAGAUGGGAAAAGGUUGACAUUAGAUAUAGCAAACUUGGGUGCUACAGUUAAAUCUGAUACUACACAGUCUGCUUCUUUUAUUCUUACCUGGUUCCCGAGAGAAGGAACCACUUGGUGCACAAUCCAUUGGGAAUCAACAACACCGAUUUUCUCAUGAGCAGGCUGCAAAGAAGUUUUAAAGGCCUUAAUUGAAUACAGGGACAAUAUGUUCAAAAGCUACUGAAAAAGUUUUCCUUUUAGUGAAUAAUUGAAAACGGCCAACAAGAGAAACAAUCAGAAAAUCUCUUCAAUGCUUUGACAUGUUGUGAAGUGCUUACCUCCACACAUUUCCGGAGAGCAAAAUCGAGACCCCAUCCAUGAAUCAAGUCAUUCUGCAAUAACAAGAAGAUAUGAACCAAACCAAGCCAAGUGAACAGUCAGAGGAGAGCAGACACUGAAAUUAUGUUAUACCUGAAUCAUAUGCCACACACAUCUCCAUGCAUCUCUGGAGAAAACUGGAGCCAUUAUUUCAACAAACCUGUACAUGAAACAGAUACAGUUAGUCCCUUGAUACCAAGGAACCAGAGUAGGCAGAUUCAGCUGCUAUGGGGGCAAAAUUACAUACCCAGCGCACGGGGGAACAUGAGGAUCUGAGCACCAGCCUUCCCUCUCCUCUGUAACCCUGUCAGAAUCAGUUUUGUAAGAUUCUCUUUUUUUUUCAUUUUCGACAAAUCAAUUUCCACAUCUCAGCAAAGAGGCUGAAAUCUGUAGUCCGACACCACGAUUAAAUUUUCUAUCCUUGUGCAAAGCAUAUUUUGGGAAACAAAGCCUCCAGCAUCACAACAUAUACAUGAAGCAACACAUUUUUCUAGAAGACAAAACAAAAUAGUUCACUGUACCUACAAACUAGAGAACCCGCCACUUACUUGUGAACCUGACGAUCCCCUCUUCUUUUGGUCAUCUGCCAUGUCAAUCCCUUAUCUGGCUCUAAACCAGGUUGUGAGAUUUCUAGUUGAUAUUUCUUGACAAGUUUAAUGUACCUGCAAUGUAAAUCAUGUUAGCAAGUCAUCUAAAAAAUGAUAUGAAGAAAUGGUCAAGUGAAGAUCAAAAACAUACUCAUCGCCAUUAAAAUGAUUGACUCCAAGGUCCUCAUCCCAGAUAAAUAUGUACUCAUAGGCUGCCACGAUAUCAGGGUGCAAGAACCUUUUAGCAUACCACCUAGAGGUCACGAUAAUCAGGACAAUUUAGAAUCAUCUUCCAAACUAAAAUAUGUGAAGAAUAAUAAAGCAUCAGAGCACACACCAUUUUGCUUGUUUCCGGGCGCUUACAUGGAUAGCUCGCUUUGACCACUCAAAUUCAUCCCAUUCACUCACUUGGCCAUCAUAGUGAAACAACAGGAUAGCAAAAUCACUAGAGAACUGCAACCAAAGGUCAAAACUAUCAGGCAGUUUGUCUAUAACUCCAUGGCAUGUGCAGAAUUAUAGACAAAUAUGCAGUUGCCAAAAAUAAAGAAAAUUGGAAGUAGUCCUUACUAGACUACAGAACAUGGGAUGUAAGAGCAAUGUCAGAUGUAAAUAGAUUAUUUAAAAAUUACCUUCUUGACAGCCCUAUUUAUGUUCUCUUUCUGUGAAAUGCCAACCGUGAAAGUAACAAGGUACUUUGGCUUGAAGGGUAGGUCCUGCAAAUUUAAAUAUCCGAGUCAGAAAGAAUGAAAUGCACACAUUGUAAAACUUGUGUGAGAACUAACUAAAACAUUAGGGUUAAAAGUGACAAAGCACCAUGGAUAGGAUGCCCAAAUUAAGAUGGAAGCAACCAGCUUUUAUGGAAGAUGAAGGGAAGAAUGCAAAAGGCUGGGCCAAAAAUCAGCAAGAAAUGAAGCAUAAUGAGCAGGACAAAUAAUAAGGUAGGAAUUCGCAGCAAUACUCAGAUCUCGAUCAAACGACAGCUUUCACCAGCUGUGCGAGACAGAUAAUUGAAAAGAUUGCAUAAGAGCAGCACACGGGCAUAAGAAUUUACGAGAUGACAAGAGCAAGCAUAUGCUAAUUCUUUCUUGCUGACAUGUGAAGGGAAGUAUUCAGCAUAACCUCAUCUCUUGGAGGAAUAAACCAUAACCUAGUGGGAAGGAAAAGAAGAAAAGGCAUCCCAGAACUGAAACACAAACAAUAUGGGACGAGAAGCGCAUACAAGAAUAAUUACCUCCUCUGGGUUUCCCCAUAACCUAUGGGGAUGAAAAUCAGACUCUGGUACAACAAUACCAGGUGCUAGGCUCUCUGCACCCCUUGGGUUUGUUGGUACAUAAAUCUACAAAGUUAUCAACCAAGAUCAUUUUUUUAUUUAACAGACAUACUAAAAGAGAAAGGAUCGCUCACAAAACAAAAAAAAAA